AAAACUGAAGGGUAUUUAUGAGUUAGUACGAGUUAGCUUUCAUAUCACUAUGAGUACACAUCUCGCCUAUCACGUAGUAGUCUUCUACGACCUCGAAAACUUGUUUUAAGAAAUGAAUUCCUGCUUGAGAUGCUUUCAGCAGUUCUACAUUCCGAACGUAGCUACUCAGCGAUGCUGCUGGCGCAACAACUGAUACACUAGAGGUUCGUCAUUUCCGGUCCUCUCGUACAAGGAAAUGGUUCUCUCAAUUUUCAACACCCGAAAAAGAUAGGAUCCGUACUGUCUCACGACGUACUAAACCCAACUCACGUACCGCUUUCAUCGGCGAACAGCCGAACCCUUCGAACCUUCUUCAGCUCGAGGAUGCGAUGAGUCGACAUCGAGGUGCCAAACGACUCCGUCGAUAAGAGCUCUUGGGAGUCAUCAGCCUGUUAUCCCUAGCGUACCUUUGAUCCGUUGAUCGAGAGCCUUUCCACCAAGAACUCCCGGGUCACUAUGGCCGACUUUCGUCUCUGCUCGACUUGUAAGUCUUACAGUCAGGCAAGCUUUUACCAUUACGCUCUGCGGCUGAUUUCCGUCCAGCCUGAGCUUACCUUCGCACACUUCCGUUACUCUUUAGGCAGUGGAAGAAAAGAGCCAAUUAUUUUUUUUAGGUUAGAAAAAUGAGAAAGAAAGGGUGGUAUUUCAUUGAUGGAACAAAAACAAAAGUUUUUGCACCUCCCACCUAUUCUACACAUUCAGACUCUUUUUUCAAUGUUAAACUAUAGUAAAGGUGCAUAGGGUCUUACCGUCUACUUUCGGGAACUCCGCAUCUUCACGGAGAAUUCAAUUUCACUGAGAUCAUGUUGGAGACAGCGGGGAAGUCGUGACACCAUUCAUGCAGGUCGGAACUUACCCGACAAGGAAUUUCGCUACCUUAGGACCGUCAGAGUUACGGCCGCCGUUUACUGGGCCUUGCAUUGAGAGCUUGUUUACUUCCUAAAACUCAUUGAAUUUUAGGACGAAACGCACCCCUCCUGUUAAGUUUCCAGCACCGGGCAGGUGUCAGACCCUAUACAUCGUGUUACCACUUAGCAGAGUCCUGUGUUUUUAAUAAACAGUCGCCACCCCCUCUUUUGUGCCACAUGGGGAGCCAAUAAAAAAUUUUGGCACUUCCAUGUCCUCCUUUUUCCGAAGUUACGGAGGUAAUUUGCCGAGUUCCUUCAACAUGAUUCUCUCUUAGCCUGAGUUUUUUCAACAAGUCCACCAGUGUCGGUUUAAGUACGGUUACUUUCUUCUAUUUUGUUGUAUUUAUUCUAAAUUGGUUGAUUUUAGAAUGAUAAAGCGAAAUUUAUCAAAAUUCUUUUAUGAUAAAAAGAUAAAAUCCACAAAAAGAGAGAUUUAGUUCUUUCCUGGACUAAUAGAGGUUUUUUUCUUAAAGAAAAACAAGAUAUCCAAUAACUUGUCUAAUCUCAAAUUAGUCGUCACUAAAUUGCGUAUCAAUGAAUCUUCAUCAUUGAACCCAUCGAAAACGAGCUGUCGCUCUUUCCUUAGGGGCCGAUUCACUCUACACCGAAAUACGGUCUGUAGAAAACCUAGGACUUUCGGCUAUCAUGAUUUUCACAUGAUUUAUCGUUACUCAUGUCAGCAUUCUCACUUCUGAUAUCUCUACUUGAUUUCACAAUCAAACUUCUAUGAUUUACAGAACGUUCUGCUACCUUUCAAAUACAAAAUCUACUAGUUCCAAAUUAGAAUAAUUUGGUUCUUAAUUACAAGUAAUUAAGAGACUAUUUAGUCAUAAAAAAGUAGAUGAAAUUUUGAAAUCGCCGCUUCGGUGAUUUUCUUGAGCUCCGUUACAUUUUAGGUGCUACUAGACAUAGACCAGUGAGCUAUUACGCUUUCUUAAAAGGAUGGCUGCUUCCAAGCCUACCUCCUGGUUGUCUUCGCCUAGUAACUUCCUUUACCACUCAGAAAAUGCUUUGGAACCUUAGCGUUCGAUCUGGGCUGUUUCCCUUUUGACUAAAGACCUUAGCGCCUUUAGUCUGUCUGUAUAGUUAGUAAAAAGGUAUUCGGAGUUUCCAUGGGAUCAGUAAGGCUUUGGGCCACCAUCACCCAACGAGUGCUCUACCUCCUUUUUACUUUUUAAUAUACGCUCUACCUCAAUAGAUUUCGCAGAAAACCAGCUAUUUCCAAGCUCGAUUGGCUUUUCACCCCAUAGUCACAAGUCAUCCCCAUCUAUUGCCACAGAUGUGGGUUCGGUCCUCCAAAACGUGUUAUCAUUUUUUCAACCUGCUCAUGACUAGAUCGCUUGGUUUCGGGUCAAAUUUAUGAAACUCGUGGUCUCUUUCUCCAUUACAAGUAAUGGAGAACUACUUGUAAUGGAGAAAACAAAAUUUGCUCUUUUCAAGCUCGCUUUAACUCCGCCUCCACUUAUGAGCUUAAGCUUGCUUCAUAAAUUUACUCGCUGACCCAUUAUGCAAAAGGUACGCCGUCACUUUUCUAAAGAAAAGCUUCGACUGCUUGUAAGCAUUCAGUUUCAGGUUCUAUUUCACACCCUAUUUAGGGGACUUUUUCACCUUUCCCUCACGGUACUUGUUCACUAUCGAUCAGAAGAAAAUAUUUAGGCUUAGAGGGUGGUCCCCCUUUUUAAAAUAUACAAAAAUAUAUUUUUUCUUCAAACAAAGGGUAUCUUCGUUUUACUCAGAUUUUUUCUCUUUCUCCAUUACUUGUAAUGGAGAACUCCUUCAUUUUUUGGAUCUACGGGACUAUUACCCUCUUUGGUGUGAUUUUCCAAACACUUGAAUCAUAAAAAAAAUCAAGGUAUUCCAAAUUUCAAGAAUUAGGAAAGAGAAAAAAAGCCUAAUCCGUGUUCGCUCACCACUACUAACAGAAUCUCGGUUGAUUUUUUUUCCUCUAGCUACUUAGAUGUUUCAGUUCACUAGGUAAUUUUUUAAUUUAAGUUUCCUUUAGGGAAAUCCAUAGGUCUCAGGAUUGAUGCACCUUGCUAUGGCGUUUCGUUGCUUUUAACGUCCCUAUUCUUCUUCUGUCUAGGCAUCCACUAAAUGCUCUUAAUA
This 3053-nucleotide ribosomal RNA is filed under the name Micractinium conductrix. RNAcentral's name for it is "23S ribosomal RNA". The record is from RNAcentral. Lineage: Eukaryota; Viridiplantae; Chlorophyta; Trebouxiophyceae; Chlorellales; Chlorellaceae.